This 424-nucleotide ribosomal RNA is filed under the name uncultured prokaryote. RNAcentral describes it as "bacterial SSU rRNA". It matches the Rfam family "Bacterial small subunit ribosomal RNA", at positions 355 to 796 of the family's 1533-position model. The record is from RNAcentral.
UGGGGAAUCUUGCACAAUGGGCGAAAGCCUGAUGCAGCCAUGCUGCGUGAAUGAUGAAGGCCCUAGGGUUGUAAAAUUCUUUCAACGGUGACGAUAAUGACGGUAGCCGUAGAAGAAGCCCCGGCUAACUUCGUGCCAGCAGCCGCGGUAAUACGAAGGGGGCUAGCGUUGUUCGGAAUUACUGGGCGUAAAGCGCGCGUAGGCGGAUUCUUAAGCCAGAUGUGAAAUCCCGGGGCUCAACCUCGGAACUGCAUUUGGAACUGGGAAUCUAGAGUUCAGGAGAGGUUCGUGGAAUGCCGAGUGUAGAGGUGAAAUUCGCAGAUAUUCGGUGGAACACCAGUGGCGAAGGCGGCUCACUGGCUCGAACCUGACGCUGAGGUGCGAAAGUGUGGGGAGCAAACAGGAUUAGAUACCCCCGUAGUCC